Molecule: long non-coding RNA, 1014 nt
Filed under: Arachis ipaensis
Lineage: Eukaryota; Viridiplantae; Streptophyta; Magnoliopsida; Fabales; Fabaceae
Description: long non-coding RNA (AIPA_LNC000213)
Source: RNAcentral
GGCAACAAAGAACAAAGGCGUUGAAAUGUAAUGCUUACCGGGCGCAAAGGAAGACCCACAGGACUAAGGGCCACAUUCCCCUUCGGUGCAUUAAGGUCUGAUGGAUGAUGAUAUCUACAUGAUGGACCAAAUUUACAUUCCCCUGUUUUCAUGUAAUACUGACAUUCUGGUUGAUCAGGCCUUUCAGGAUAUGGGUUCUCCUUCUGAGUACUACUACCUGAAGGAUCAACAGAGGGGCCAGAAGGUUGAUAAGGUGCAGAAUACCCAGUUGCCUGAGAAGGCAGCUGGGUUAUCCUGUAAAGCUGUGUUGGACCAACAUUAGAUGGAGUACUAGAGGGAAGUAGGGGGCUUGUUGCUUGAGCCUGCACCAAGUGAUUGACAUCUUUAAUGAUUACACAUAUAAUGCGAGUAAGCAAUCAAAACAAGAUGUCAGACCCACCUGAUAAGGAUUCCAGCCUGGAAAGGGGACCAUGGCAGGGGACACUACCACAGGCCCAUAAGGGCCCUGGACUAAUGAGCCAGGCAGCAACGGAGGCCUUGCAACCAGUACACUAUAUUGCUGUUGCGAAGGACCAGAUGGAGGCUGCACGGUUGGAUAUAAUGGAGAAGGUACCUGUACAGGUAGAGGUGAAACCGGGGGAACUGGUGAUGGUGCGGGAAUUUGGACACCUGCAGGUCUUCUUCUUUUUUUUUUUUUUUUCAAUUUUUGUAUAUCAUUUUUAUCACAUAUUGCCAAAAUUUUCAGCAGAGAACAUCAUCCAUAACCCAAUAUGAGGCAACAAAGAACAAAGGCGUUGAAAUGUAAUGCUUACCGGGCGCAAAGGAAGACCCACAGGACUAAGGGCCACAUUCCCCUUCGGUGCAUUAAGGUCUGAUGGAUGAUGAUAUCUACAUGAUGGACCAAAUUUACAUUCCCCUGUUUUCAUGUAAUACUGACAUUCUGGUUGAUCAGGCCUUUCAGGAUAUGGGUUCUCCUUCUGAGUACUACUACCUGAAGGAUCAACAGAGGGGCCA